GACGAACGCUGGCGGCGUGCCUAAUACAUGCAAGUUGAGCGCUGACGGUUGGUACUUGUACCAACUGGAUGAGCAGCGAACGGGUGAGUAACGCGUGGGGAAUCUGCCUUUGAGCGGGGGACAACAUUGGGAAACGAAUGCUAAUACCGCAUAAAAACUUUAAACACAAGUUUUAAGUUUGAAAGAUGCAAUUGCAUCACUCAAAGAUGAUCCCGCGUUGUAUUAGCUAGUUGGUGAGGUAAAGGCUCACCAAGGCGAUGAUACAUAGCCGACCUGAGAGGGUGAACGGCCACAUUGGGAACGAGACACGGCCCAAGCCCCCACGGGGGGGAGCCAGAGGGAAUCUUCGGAAAGGGAGGAAAGUCUGACCGCGCAACGCCGCGUGAGGGAAGAAGGGUUUCGGAUCGUAAAAGUCCGUUGGUAGGGAAGAACGUUGGUGAGGGUGGAAAGCUCAUCAAGUGACGGUAACUACCGAGAAAGGGACGGCUAACUACGUG
This 497-nucleotide ribosomal RNA is filed under the name uncultured bacterium. Its description in RNAcentral is "partial 16S ribosomal RNA". It matches the Rfam family "Bacterial small subunit ribosomal RNA", at positions 28 to 507 of the family's 1533-position model. The record is from RNAcentral.